Molecule: non-coding RNA, 31 nt
Filed under: Homo sapiens (human)
Lineage: Eukaryota; Metazoa; Chordata; Mammalia; Primates; Hominidae
Source: RNAcentral
CUCAUUUGGACCAGAUGAUUGCGUUUUACAA